RNAcentral lists this ribosomal RNA (497 nucleotides) under uncultured bacterium. Its description in RNAcentral is "partial 16S ribosomal RNA". It matches the Rfam family "Bacterial small subunit ribosomal RNA", at positions 28 to 507 of the family's 1533-position model. The record is from RNAcentral.
GAUGAACGCUGGCGGCGUGCCUAAUACAUGCAAGUCGAGCGAACGGACGAGAAGCUUGCUUUUCUGAUGUUAGCGGCGGACGGGUGAGUAACACGUGGAUAACCUACCUAUAAGACUGGGAUAACUUCGGGAAACCGGAGCUAAUACCGGAUAAUAUUUUGAACCGCAUGGUUCAAAAGUGAAAGACGGUCUUGCUGUCACUUAUAGAUGGAUCCGCGCUGCAUUAGCUAGUUGGUAAGGUAACGGCUUACCAAGGCAACGAUGCAUAGCCGACCUGAGAGGGUGAUCGGCCACACUGGAACUGAGACACGGUCCAGACUCCUACGGGAGGCCGCAGUAGGGAAUCUUCCGCAAUGGGCGAAAGCCUGACGGAGCAACGCCGCGUGAGUGAUGAAGGUCUUCGGAUCGUAAAACUCUGUUAUUAGGGAAGAACAUAUGUGUAAGUAACUGUGCACAUCGUGACGGUACCUAAUCAGAAAGCCACGGCUAACUACGUG